UACGAAGGGGGCUAGCGUUGCUCGGAAUCACUGGGAGUAAAGCGCACGUAGGCGGAUUGCUAAGUCAGGGGUGAAAUCCUGGAGCUCAACUCCAGAACUGCCUUUGAUACUGGCGAUCUUGAGUCCGGGAGAGGUGAGUGGAACUGCGAGUGUAGAGGUGAAAUUCGUAGAUAUUCGCAAGAACACCAGUGGCGAAGGCGGCUCACUGGCCCGGUACUGACGCUGAGGUGCGAAAGCGUGGGGAGCAAACAGG
Molecule: ribosomal RNA, 253 nt
Filed under: uncultured bacterium
Lineage: Bacteria
Description: partial 16S ribosomal RNA
Rfam family: Bacterial small subunit ribosomal RNA
Source: RNAcentral